This 250-nucleotide ribosomal RNA is filed under the name uncultured Chroococcidiopsis sp. RNAcentral describes it as "partial 16S ribosomal RNA". It matches the Rfam family "Bacterial small subunit ribosomal RNA", at positions 796 to 1044 of the family's 1533-position model. The record is from RNAcentral. Lineage: Bacteria; Bacillati; Cyanobacteriota; Cyanophyceae; Chroococcidiopsidales; Chroococcidiopsidaceae.
CUAGCCGUAAACGAUGGAUACUAGGCGUUGAGAGGAUCGACCCUCGCAGUGCCGUAGCUAACGCGUUAAGUAUCCCGCCUGGGGAGUACGCGCGCAAGCGUGAAACUCAAAGGAAUUGACGGGGGCCCGCACAAGCGGUGGAGUAUGUGGUUUAAUUCGAUGCAACGCGAAGAACCUUACCAGGGCUUGACAUGUCCGGAACCCUGCCCAAAGGUGGGGGUGCCUACGGGAGUCGGAACACAGGUGGUGC